GGCGGACACAACAUCUUUGUUUGUAUGUGGUGCUGAGGAUCGAACCCGGGCUGCACGCAUACCAGGCGUGCGCGCUACCGCUUGAGCCACAUCCCCAGCCCCUAUUAGCUGUUUUUAUCAAAUUUUCUAAUAACUGGUACCAGCCCCAGUGACUUGGGUCACCUUAUCUGCAAGUCAUGCUUUUUUCUAGUCAUUCCCUGGGUACUUCUGGCCUCAGAGUGUAAAGAGGGGACAUUGACACUGUACUCUAACAACAGGGAAGUGAGUCUGGACCAAGGUGUCAGGAGAUCACUUGUGAGUCACCUUAACAACUUGUUACUAAGAGUGGGUAAAGCACUGAUGUGUUAAUGUUUUAUUUUUUUUUAAGGCACAUUAUAUUGGUGUGUUUUUAAAUUUUUAUUUACCAUUUCAUUUAGUUUUCUUGGAUGGAAAGGAACAUAAUCAACAUCUACAACCCUGUAGAUGUUAUUUUGCCUAAUUAAAAAAAAAGGCAUGAAGGGAGAAUUUUGUAUGAGUGUGAUAUUGAUUUUUCUAGUAUGUGAACAUUAUUUUCCAUGUGCUAUGGCAGAACCACAGGUAAGAAGCAUUAUUUUAGAGUUCCAAGUGGGCUGUGUUAUAAUAUGGUCUUUCCCGUAUGGAACUUAUGGAUUUUUAGGUUCAUAGUGUGAUGAUACAGCAGUAUUUAAAAUUACCUCCAAACCUCUGUGGAACAUAACCAUGAAACUAUUUCAAGUUACUUUUAUUAAAAGUCCUCUUGUUCUAUCUUCUAAUACAAACAAAUUGUAUCAAUAAUUUAUACACAUUUGGGGGGUUAAAUACUAGGUUGCAGUUCCCUGCCAACAGAAAUGAAAAUUUAGGAAUUCCAUAUUGCAUCAUUGAAAAUAUUAACGUUAUUAACAUGGACUCAAUGAAUGGAGAUAUAUAUAUAUAUAUAUAU
RNAcentral lists this long non-coding RNA (937 nucleotides) under Marmota monax (woodchuck). The record is from RNAcentral. Lineage: Eukaryota; Metazoa; Chordata; Mammalia; Rodentia; Sciuridae.